Molecule: ribosomal RNA, 433 nt
Filed under: uncultured bacterium
Lineage: Bacteria
Description: partial 16S ribosomal RNA
Rfam family: Bacterial small subunit ribosomal RNA
Source: RNAcentral
GACGAACGCUGGCGGCGUGCCUAACACAUGCAAGUCGAACGAAACGUCCGGGUCUUUGGGCGCAGGGUGGCGUAAGGCGGGGGGAGCUGCACUUGGGUACGGCAUACCUCCCCGAAGGGGAUGCUAAUGCCAGAUAGUGUCUUAGGGCCAAAGAUUUAUUGCCUUUGGUUGGGCGCUCGUUGGAUUAGCUGGUUGGUAGGGUAAUAGCCUACCACGGGGACGAUGCAUAGCUGGUCUGAGAGGAUGAUCAGCAACACUUGGGCUGAGACACGGCCCAGAAGCCUACGCGAGGCAGGAGAGGGUAACAUAGGACAAGGGGGGAAAGUCUGAUCCAGCAAGGCCGCGUGAGUGAUGAAGGCCGUAGGGAUGUAAAGUGCUUUUACCCGGGAUGAUAAUGACGGUACCGGGUGAAUAAGCUCCGGCUAACUCCGUG